RNAcentral lists this ribosomal RNA (253 nucleotides) under uncultured bacterium. RNAcentral describes it as "partial 16S ribosomal RNA". It matches the Rfam family "Bacterial small subunit ribosomal RNA", at positions 524 to 776 of the family's 1533-position model. The record is from RNAcentral.
UACGUAGGGUGCAGGCGUUAAUCGGAAUUACUGGGCGUAAAGCGUGCGCAGGCGGUUUGCUAAGACAGGUGUGAAAUCCCCGGGCUUAACCUGGGAACUGCGCUUGUAACUGGCAAGCUAGAGUGUGGCAGAGGGGGGUGGAAUUCCAGGUGUAGCAGUGAAAUGCGUAGAUAUCUGGAGGAACACCGGUGGCGAAGGCGGCAUCCUGGACCGGUAUUGACGCUGAGGCGCGAAAGCUAGGGGAGCAAACGGG